This is a long non-coding RNA of Hibiscus syriacus, 88 nucleotides long. RefSeq lists it as uncharacterized. NCBI's taxonomy places the organism in Eukaryota, Viridiplantae, Streptophyta, Magnoliopsida, Malvales, Malvaceae. The transcript has 3 exons. The record is from RefSeq and is a predicted model, not a curated record.
AUCCGGCAACAGAGUUGGAACCAGAUUUUGACUUGGAUAUUAAAGUGGAUGUUGAAGAAGAAUGCAACAAAUAUGGCAGGGUGAAGCA